RNAcentral lists this transfer RNA (94 nucleotides) under freshwater metagenome. RNAcentral describes it as "tRNA-Ala". The record is from RNAcentral.
GCCAACACUGGCCCAUGGCAGAGCUGCUGGAUCGCGUUCGGCAAAGACCCGAAUCGUUUUUCCACCAACUGUGAUGGUGUCAUCGGUGUAGGUA